CGAUAUAUGUGGCGUAAAGCUAUUUCAGUGUGAUAGUUUUUGUAUGUUUAAUCCAUUGGUGUAAUGCACUGUGACUACGCUUUUGACUACUGGGGUCAAGGCACGACGGUAACAGUCACAUCAGCCACUUCGACCAAACCAACUGUGUUCCCUCUGAUACCAUGUGGUUCCGGGACUGGAACUACGGUCACUCUGGGCUGCCUCGCCACCGGCUUCUCACCCCCCUCACUGACUUACGCAUGGAACAAAAAUGGAGCUGCCUUGACAGGUUCUAUUCAGUACCCUCCGGUACUGAAAGGCGAGCACUACACAGGAGUCAGUCAAAUCGUAGUCCCGAAACAGGACUGGGAGACAAGCCAGUCCGGCCAAUACAAAUGUUCUGUGACACAUGCUGCAGGAAAUGGAGAAGCUUUCUUCCAAAGGAAAGUGUCAGUAUAUAAGACACCCGAGCUGAGAGUGUCGGCCUUGUCUGAUGAGGAAAACGAGGUGUCCUUCAUCUGCACUGCCACAGACUUUUCACCUAAAGCUCACCAGAUCAAAUGGCUGAAAAAUAAAAAGGAAGUCACUGACAAAAUCUCUGAAUACACAUCAAAGAAAAGCGGGAAUGGUACAGAACUGUACAGUGUAGCAAGUAUUCUCACAAUGCAAUCCGCUGACGUGCCUGCAUUGACCGAGAUUACGUGCGAGUUCAAGGGGAAAAACGCAACGGGUGAUGUAUUCACUCGUGACUUUCUGAGCUACAGCCCUGGAGGUCCAACAAGCACUGAAUGCCCUAAAGCAGACGUGGAAGUAACAAUCGAACCCCCCAAAUUGGAGGACAUAUUUGUAGAGAAGAAAGGUACCAUAAUAUGCCAUGUUAAGGCCAAUAAGCCUCGUGUUGUGAAGAUAUAUUGGGAAGAUCAGAAUGGAGAUGAAAUUGCCGGUGCCUAUAUGGAACCGAAAAAUGGUGAAACAACACACAGCCUUCCUCUUGGCAUCACAUAUGUCGAAUGGAGCCAGGGGAUUAAGUUCAUCUGUGUUGUGGAACAUAGUGCAGUGAUUGAUCCUAUAAAGACGCCUUAUGAAAGGAAAACCGGAGUGCUGACUCAACGUCCGUCAGUGUUUAUGAUGCCACCAGUAGAGCACAUAAAAAAAAAAAUGGUUACUCUGACUUGCUUUGUGAAAGACUUCUCCCCUGAAGAGGUUUUCGUUUCUUGGCUUGUUGAUGAUGAAUUGACAACAGACGAUUUCAAUACCACAAACCCAAUUAAAAACCAUGAAUCCUACUCGGCUUAUGGCCAGUUAUCAAUCAGCCUCGACCAGUGGAAAGAGGCUGGCUCGGUGUACAGCUGCGUGGUUUACCACCAAUCUCUGGAUUCCAAUACAAGAGCCAUUGUCAGAUCCAUUGCCUACAAUACAUUUGACAAACUCAACCUGGUCAACGUCAGCCUGAACAUACCUAACACGUGCAAGGCCUAGUAGAUGCUAUUUUGUGUCCUCUGCUGUUUGUUAAUGUUUGUUGCUUUUGAUAUGACAUUGUGUGUGUGUGUUUUUAAUGCAGAUUCAAAAUCAAAAUAAAAAAAAGCCCUUUGCAA
Molecule: non-coding RNA, 1574 nt
Organism: Platichthys flesus (European flounder)
Lineage: Eukaryota; Metazoa; Chordata; Actinopteri; Pleuronectiformes; Pleuronectidae
Source: the annotation of a RefSeq genome assembly